UACGGAGGGGGCUAGCGUUGUUCGGAAUUACUGGGCGUAAAGCGCGCGUAGGCGGAUCUGCAAGUCGGGGGUGAAAUCCCGAGGCUCAACCUCGGAACUGCCUUCGAUACUGCGGGUCUCGAGUCCGGAGAGGUGAGUGGAAUUCCUAGUGUAGAGGUGAAAUUCGUAGAUAUUAGGAAGAACACCAGUGGCGAAGGCGGACUCACUGGCCCGGUACUGACGCUGAGGC
Molecule: ribosomal RNA, 229 nt
Filed under: uncultured bacterium
Lineage: Bacteria
Description: partial 16S ribosomal RNA
Rfam family: Bacterial small subunit ribosomal RNA
Source: RNAcentral